Parastagonospora nodorum SN15 is the source of this 107-nucleotide non-coding RNA. The record is from the annotation of a RefSeq genome assembly. Lineage: Eukaryota; Fungi; Ascomycota; Dothideomycetes; Pleosporales; Phaeosphaeriaceae.
GGCCUAAUGGCCCAAUGGCAAGGCGCUUGACUACGAAUCAAGAGAUUCCAGGUUGUAAGUUACACAACACUUCUACACCACCUUCAGUUCGAAUCUCAACUAACACU